ACAUUACCUAUUGCAUCUCUCUUUGUUCUAAACACCGACUUACAACCAAUUGAAGCUUGAUUUGAUGGAAGUUGAAAGAAUUCUCAUAUUUUAUUAUCCAUGAGUGAUUGCUAUUCUUCUCCCACGGUUUUUUUUCCACUUCAAAGCAUCUGUGGACUUCAUUGCAUCACACAAACUCAAUAGAUCAGUUUGAAGUGCAACAUUGGUAUAUUCUUCACUUACUUGAAGAAAGAUAUGAUUAUUCCACUAUUUGCUACCUUAUUUUCUAUCUCUCAAAGGAUAUCUCCUUUCAUUUGAAGAAGACUCAACUUGUUGUAUUCUAUUGUCUCCUCCAACCUUCUUUUCUUUUGUAGAUAAUCUUUUCUCACUCAAAGAUUGAUAAUCCUCAUCACUAUCAUCAUCAAUAUCUUUAUACUCGUCACAACUAGUCUUAGCAUUUUCAAAGGCCUUGUUAUCCACCUUCUUUGCCUCUUUAUCUUUAUUUCUACCUUUACAACCAUCAUUGUCUUCAUCUUCUUCUUUCUUUAUUGAAUCUAAAGAUGUAUCCACAA
RNAcentral lists this long non-coding RNA (551 nucleotides) under Physcomitrium patens. Its description in RNAcentral is "long non-coding RNA (PPAT_LNC012711)". Lineage: Eukaryota; Viridiplantae; Streptophyta; Bryopsida; Funariales; Funariaceae. The record is from RNAcentral.